RNAcentral lists this ribosomal RNA (454 nucleotides) under uncultured microorganism. RNAcentral's name for it is "bacterial SSU rRNA". It matches the Rfam family "Archaeal small subunit ribosomal RNA", at positions 330 to 745 of the family's 1478-position model. The record is from RNAcentral.
GUGCAGCAGUCGAGAAUACUCCGCAAUGCCCGAAAGGGUGACGGGGGGAUUCCAAGUGCCUACGCUUAGCGUAGGCUGUUCAGGUGCCUAAAAAGCACCUGGAGGAAGGGCUGGGUAAGACGGGUGCCAGCCGCCGCGGUAAUACCCGCAGCCCGAGUGGUAGUCGCUUUUAUUGGGCCUAAAGCGUCCGUAGCCGGUCUGGUAAAUGCCUGGGUAAAUCGUGGGGCUUAACCUCACGAAUUCCGGGUAGACUGCCAGACUUGGGACCGGUUGAGGGAGAGGGUACUCCAGGGGUAGGGGUGGAAUCAGCAAGGUAAGCUGAUGUAACUUGCCUUGCAAGUCACAAUCCUGUAAUCCUUGGAGGACCACCGGUGGCGAAAGCGCUCUCCUAGGACGGGUCCGACGGUGAGGGACGAAAGCCAGGGGAGCAAACCGGAUUAGAUACCCGGGUAGU